This 496-nucleotide ribosomal RNA is filed under the name uncultured bacterium. RNAcentral's name for it is "partial 16S ribosomal RNA". It matches the Rfam family "Bacterial small subunit ribosomal RNA", at positions 29 to 507 of the family's 1533-position model. The record is from RNAcentral.
AUGAACGCUGGCGGCGUGCCUAAUCCCUGCAAGUCGAGCGAACGGACGAGAAGCUUGCUUCUCUGAUGUUAGCGGCGGACGGGUGAGUAACACGUGGAUAACCUACCUAUAAGACUGGGAUAACUUCGGGAAACCGGAGCUAAUACCGGAUGAUAUUUUGAACCGCAUGGUUCAAAAGUGAAAGACGGUCUUGCUGUCACUUAUAGAUGGAUCCGCGCUGCCUUAGCUAGUUGGUAAGGUAACGGCUUACCAAGGCAACGAUGCAUAGCCGACCUGAGAGGGUGAUCGGCCACACGGGAACUGAGACACGGUCCAGACUCCUACGGGAGGCAGCAGUAGGGAAUAUUCCGCAAUGGGCGAAAGCCUGACGGAGCAAAGCCGCGUGAGUGAUGAAGGUCUUCGGAUCGUAAAACUCUGUUAUUAGGGAAGAACAUAUGUGUAAGUAACUGUGCACAUCUUGACGGUACCUAAUCAGAAAGCCACGGCUAACUACGUG